Molecule: ribosomal RNA, 532 nt
Filed under: uncultured bacterium
Lineage: Bacteria
Description: bacterial SSU rRNA
Rfam family: Bacterial small subunit ribosomal RNA
Source: RNAcentral
CGAGGAACUUUACCUGGGCUCAAACGUCGGAGGACGUGUGGAGAAAUCCGCAUUUCCCUCGGGACUUCCGACGAGGUGCUGCAUGGUUGUCGUCAGCUCGUGCCGUGAGGUGUCGGCUUAAGUGCCAUAACGAGCGCAACCCCCAUCUACAGUUGCUAACAGGUGAAGCUGAGGACUCUGUGGAGACUGCCGGCGCAAGCUGAGAGGAAGGCGGGGAUGACGUCAAAUCAGCACGGCCCUUACGUCCGGGGCGACACACGUGUUACAAUGGCAGGUACAGCGGGAAGCCACUUGGCGACAAGGAGCGGAACCCGAAAACCUGUCUCAGUUCGGAUUGGAGUCUGCAACCCGACUCCAUGAAGCUGGAUUCGCUAGUAAUCGCGCAUCAGCCACGGCGCGGUGAAUACGUUCCCGGGCCUUGUACACACCGCCCGUCAAGCCAUGGAAGCCGGGAGUGCCUGAAGUGCGUGAGCGCAAGCAGCGCCCUAGGGUAAAACCGGUGACUGGGGCUAAGUCGUAACAAGGUAACCGU